RNAcentral lists this ribosomal RNA (595 nucleotides) under uncultured Ascomycota. RNAcentral's name for it is "eukaryotic LSU rRNA". The stretch from base 217 to 370 matches the Rfam family "5.8S ribosomal RNA". Lineage: Eukaryota; Fungi; Ascomycota. The record is from RNAcentral.
CUUGGUCAUUUAGAGGAAGUAAAAGUCGUAACAAGGUCUCCGUUGGUGAACCAGCGGAGGGAUCAUUACCGAGUUUACAACUCCCAAACCCCUGUGAACAUACCAAUUGUUGCCUCGGCGGAUCAGCCCGCUCCCGGUAAAACGGAACGGCCCGCCAGAGGACCCCUAAACUCUGUUUCUAUAUGUAACUUCUGAGUAAAACCAUAAAUAAAUCAAAACUUUCAACAACGGAUCUCUUGGUUCUGGCAUCGAUGAAGAACGCAGCAAAAUGCGAUAAGUGAUGUGAAUUGCAGAAUUCAGUGAAUCAUCGAAUCUUUGAACGCACAUUGCGCCCGCCAGUAUUCUGGCGGGCAUGCCUGUUCGAGCGUCAUUUCAACCCUCAAGCCCCCGGGUUUGGUGUUGGGGAUCGGCGAGUCUCACGGCAAGCCGGCCCCGAAAUACAGUGGCGGUCUCGCUGCAGCUUCCAUUGCGUAGUAGUAAAACCCUCGCAACUGGUACGCGGCGCGGCCAAGCCGUUAAACCCCCAACUUCUGAAUGUUGACCUCGGAUCAGGUAGGAAUACCCGCUGAACUUAAGCAUAUCAAUAAGCGGAGGA